RNAcentral lists this ribosomal RNA (322 nucleotides) under uncultured bacterium. Its description in RNAcentral is "bacterial SSU rRNA". It matches the Rfam family "Bacterial small subunit ribosomal RNA", at positions 30 to 351 of the family's 1533-position model. The record is from RNAcentral.
AUUGAACGCUGGCGGCGUGCUUAACACAUGCAAGUCGAGCGGUAACAGGCGUAGCAAUACGUGCUGACGAGCGGCGAACGGGUGCGUAAUACAUGGGAAUCUGCCUAGUAGUGGGGAAUAACCCGGCGAAAGCCGGGCUAAUGCCGCAUACGAUCCACGGAUGAAAGCGGGGACCUUCGGGCCUCGCGCUAUUGGAUGAGCCCAUGUCGGAUUAGCUAGUUGGNGAGGUAACGGCCCGCCAAGGCGACGAUCCGUAGCUGGUCUGAGAGGAUGAUCAGCCACACUGGGACUGAGACACGGCCCAGACUCCUACGGGAGGCAG